Molecule: ribosomal RNA, 117 nt
Filed under: Pteropus alecto (black flying fox)
Lineage: Eukaryota; Metazoa; Chordata; Mammalia; Chiroptera; Pteropodidae
Source: RNAcentral
GUCAACGGCAUGCCACCCAGAACAGGCCCAAUCCCAUCCAAUCUCGGAAGCUAAGCAGGGUGGGUCUGGUUAGUACUUGGAUGGGAGACCACGUAGGAAGACCAGAUGCUGUAGGCA